GAUGAACGCUGGCGGCGUGCCUAAUACAUGCAAGUCGAGCGAACGGACGAGAAGCUUGCUUCUCUGAUGUUAGCGGCGGACGGGUGAGUAACACGUGGAUAACCUACCUAUAAGACUGGGAUAACUUCGGGAAACCGGAGCUAAUACCGGAUGAUAUUUUGAACCGCAUGGUUCAAAAGUGAAAGACGGUCUUGCUGUCACUUAUAGAUGGAUCCGCGCUGCAUUAGCUAGUUGGUAAGGUAACGGCUUACCAAGGCAACGAUGCAUAGCCGACCUGAGAGGGAGAGGGGCCACAAGGGCACUGAGACACGGUCGGGGCGCAGACGGGAGGCAGCAGUGGGGCAUCUUCGCAGAUGGGCGAAAGCCUGAAGGAGCAACUCCGCGUGAGUGAUGAAGUUCUUCGGAUCGUAAAACCCUGUUAUUAGGGAAGAACAUAUGUGUAAGGAACUGUGCCCAGCUGGACGGUACCUAAUCAGAAAGCCACGGCUAACUACGUG
Molecule: ribosomal RNA, 497 nt
Filed under: uncultured bacterium
Lineage: Bacteria
Description: partial 16S ribosomal RNA
Rfam family: Bacterial small subunit ribosomal RNA
Source: RNAcentral